UUCUUCAUUUCAUUUUCCUCUCUUCACCUUGCGCCGCUCGCCCUGUCGCCCAGUCUCUCGUGAGUCUCGCCUCCUCUCUCGUCUCUCCUCCGGCCUCCACUCUCCAGCGCCGUUCGGACCUCUUCGCUCAUCUCGUCUCCGCCGCCACUGCUACACUGAAAGGGUUUGAUCGAGCUUUGGAGAAGUAUGAAAUUUUCGGAGGGGUAUCUAGUUUUGGGUGAAGAUCUUUGUAUUUGUGGUCAGAAUCAUUUUUUGUUGGCAUUCAGGAGUUGGAGGAAUUUGUGAAAAGCUAGAUGACGAUCAAUCAAGG
Molecule: long non-coding RNA, 310 nt
Organism: Alnus glutinosa
Lineage: Eukaryota; Viridiplantae; Streptophyta; Magnoliopsida; Fagales; Betulaceae
Exons: 4
Source: RefSeq, a predicted model, not a curated record